CAGGGGGUAGUUUAUAUAGAAUAUUAGUUUUGGGUAUUAAUGGUAAAGUUAUCUUUUCCUCUGA
RNAcentral lists this transfer RNA (64 nucleotides) under Margattea concava. Its description in RNAcentral is "tRNA-Pro". The record is from RNAcentral. Lineage: Eukaryota; Metazoa; Arthropoda; Insecta; Blattodea; Pseudophyllodromiidae.